UACGGAGGGUGCAAGCGUUAUCCGGAUUUACUGGGUUUAAAGGGUGUGUAGGCGGACUUUUAAGUCAGCGGUGAAAUCUCCGGGCUCAACCCGGAAACUGCCAUUGAUACUAUUGGUCUUGAAUAUUGUGGAGGUGGGCGGAACGGGUCAUGUAGCGGUGAAAUGCUUAGAGAUGACCCGGAACACCGAUUGCGAAGGCAGCCCACUACGCAAUGAUUGACGCUGAGGCACGAAAGCGUGGGGAGCAAACAGG
This 253-nucleotide ribosomal RNA is filed under the name uncultured bacterium. RNAcentral describes it as "partial 16S ribosomal RNA". It matches the Rfam family "Bacterial small subunit ribosomal RNA", at positions 524 to 776 of the family's 1533-position model. The record is from RNAcentral.